This 426-nucleotide ribosomal RNA is filed under the name uncultured archaeon. RNAcentral's name for it is "bacterial SSU rRNA". It matches the Rfam family "Archaeal small subunit ribosomal RNA", at positions 474 to 901 of the family's 1478-position model. The record is from RNAcentral.
CACCAGCUCUUCAAGUGGUUGGGACUUUUAUUGGGCUUAAAGCGUCCGUAGCCUGUUUGAUAAGUUCCUGGUUAAAUCCGGCAGCUUAACUGUUGGACUGCUAGGAAUACUGUCUUACUAGAGGGCGGGAAAGGUCAGGGGUACUCCGGGGGGAGCGGUGAAAUGUGAUAAUCCUCGGGGGACCACCAGUGGCGAAGGCGCCUGACUGGAACGCGCCUGACGGUGAGGGACGAAAGGUAGGGGAACGAACGGGAUUAGAUACCCCGGUAGUCCUACCCGUAAACGAUGCGCGCUAGAUGUCGGUUCUGCUCCGAGCAGUACCGGUGCCACAGGGAAACCGUUAAGCGCGCCGCCUGGGAAGUACGCUCGCAAGAGUGAAACUUAAGGAAUUGACGGGGGAGCACCACAAGGGGUGAAGCCUGCGUU